This 324-nucleotide ribosomal RNA is filed under the name uncultured bacterium. RNAcentral describes it as "bacterial SSU rRNA". It matches the Rfam family "Bacterial small subunit ribosomal RNA", at positions 28 to 334 of the family's 1533-position model. The record is from RNAcentral.
GACGAACGCUGGCGGCGUGCUUAACACAUGCAAGUCGAACGGAGCACCCCUGAAGGAGUUUUCGGACAACGGAAGGGAAUGCUUAGUGGCGGACUGGUGAGUAACGCGUGAGGAACCUGCCUUUCAGAGGGGGACAACAGUUGGAAACGACUGCUAAUACCGCAUGAUGUAUCGGGAUCGCAUGGUACUGAUACCAAAGAUUUAUCGCUGAAAGAUGGCCUCGCGUCUGAUUAGCUAGUUGGUGAGGUAACGGCCCACCAAGGCGACGAUCAGUAGCCGGACUGAGAGGUUGACCGGCCACAUUGGGACUGAGAUACGGCCCAG